Molecule: long non-coding RNA, 890 nt
Filed under: Elaeis guineensis (African oil palm)
Lineage: Eukaryota; Viridiplantae; Streptophyta; Magnoliopsida; Arecales; Arecaceae
Description: long non-coding RNA (EGUI_LNC019639)
Source: RNAcentral
CCUCACAAAUCAAUAAAUUUUCGAACCAAAACUCACUUCCAGAUGACAUAAAGCUUGUUGAGGAGCCAAACAAUCGUAACACUGAAGAAAAAAUUGCGACACUCCAAUGGUUUUAGCAGCACCCAGGUGGACAUCCACACAUCGCUCCGGAGGAAAAAGUUAACCUAUUUCUCUAAAAUCUUAAAAAAAAUCCAGACAUUGCAGCAUUUUAUUUAAAAUUUAUCAAAAAUCCCACUCAAAUUCAACAACAUCGACGCAAAGCACAACAAUCACCAAAAAAAUAAAGCAAUGCAAUGCCUUACGAAUCGAGCACCUGGAUUCUUACCUAGGCGAUCCUUCCGGCUAUGAAUCGUGGAAAAAAUCCAAGCUUUGCUCUAGAAAUCUAUCGGAAGCCCAAACGAAAUUGAAGAAAUCGGCGAUUGGGAAUGGAAAAAAGAAAGACCCAUCUUCCCUCCUACCGGGACACCCCUACCUCUAGGAAGAAUAGAGAAAAAGAAAAAAAAAUGAAGAAACAAGAGAAGGAAGAGUCUAUUACCUCAAGUUCGGUGAGGAAUCAACGGUGAAUCGCGGAGAAGAGUUCAGCGGCAAAUCCAAAACAAUCGAAGGAAUGUCGCCGGCAAUGUUGGACGGGGUUUCGGAGCAGAGCAGAGUGGCGAGGAGGGUUAAGGGACCUUUUAUAGAUUCGGAUCCCAGGAUUUGGCCGCCCUAUUUUCCCAGCCGAAAACGAAGAAGAGGAAGAUUCCCGAUGGUAGCUCCUUUCCUCACAUGCACAGCUCUUGUUCGCUAUGGCCCUUCUUCGCGUCAUUCCAUAUAUAAUGCGUGUGCAGUAGACGAGAAUGAUAAGAGUUAUCAUCUUCGGACAAUAUUCUUGUAUAUUCCCAAUAAUAGAG